UGGGGAAUAUUGGACAAUGGGCGAAAGCCUGAUCCAGCCCUGCCGCGUGUGUGAAGAAGGUCUUCGGAUUGUAAAGCACUUUAAGUUGGGAGGAAGGGCAGUAAGCGAAUACCUUGCUGUUUUGACGUUACCGACAGAAUAAGCACCGGCUAACUCUGUGCCAGCAGCCGCGGUAAUACAGAGGGUGCAAGCGUUAAUCGGAAUUACUGGGCGUAAAGCGCGCGUAGGUGGUUCGUUAAGUUGAAUGUGAAAGCCCCGGGCUCAACCUGGGAACUGCAUCCAAAACUGGCGAGCUAGAGUAGGGCAGAGGGUGGUGGAAUUUCCUGUGUAGCGGUGAAAUGCGUAGUUAUAGGAAGGAACACCAGUGGCGAAGGCGACCACCUGGGCUCAUACUGACACUGAGGUGCGAAAGCGUGGGGAGCAAACAGG
RNAcentral lists this ribosomal RNA (429 nucleotides) under Pseudomonadota bacterium. Its description in RNAcentral is "Proteobacteria bacterium partial 16S ribosomal RNA". It matches the Rfam family "Bacterial small subunit ribosomal RNA", at positions 355 to 776 of the family's 1533-position model. Lineage: Bacteria; Pseudomonadati; Pseudomonadota. The record is from RNAcentral.